GAUGAAGAACGCAGCGAAAUGCGAUACGUAAUGUGAAUUGCAGAAUUCAGUGAAUCAUCGAAUCUUUGAACGCAUAUUGCGCUCUCUGGUAUUCCGGAGAGCAUGCUUGUUUGAGUAUCAGUAAACACCUCAACUUCCAUAUCUUUUUUGAAAUGGGAGUUGGACUUGAGUGAUCCCAACGCUUUUCCUCACCGAAAAGUGGCGGAUUACUUGAAAUGCAGGUGCAGCUGGACUUUUCUCUGAGCUAUAAGCAUAUCUAUUUAGUCUGCCUAAAAAACAGAUUAUUACCUUUGCUGCAGCUAACAUAAAGGAGAUUAGUUCUUGUGCUGACUGAUGCAGGAUUCACAAAGACAGGCUUCGGCCGACUUUGUAAACUCGAUCUCAAAUCAAGUAAGACUACCCGCUGAACUUAAGCAUAUCAAUAAGCGGAGGA
This 433-nucleotide unclassified non-coding RNA is filed under the name soil metagenome. RNAcentral describes it as "partial contains 5.8S ribosomal RNA, internal transcribed spacer 2, and large subunit ribosomal RNA". The stretch from base 1 to 120 matches the Rfam family "5.8S ribosomal RNA", at positions 35 to 154 of the family's 154-position model. The record is from RNAcentral.